AUUGAACGCUGGCGGCAUGCCUUACACAUGCAAGUCGAACGGCAGCACGGGAGCAAUCCUGGUGGCGAGUGGCGAACGGGUGAGUAAUGUAUCGGAACGUGCCCAGUCGUGGGGGAUAACGUAGCGAAAGCUACGCUAAUACCGCAUACGAUCUAUGGAUGAAAGCGGGGGAUCGCAAGACCUCGCGCGAUUGGAGCGGCCGAUAUCAGAUUAGGUAGUUGGUGGGGUAAAGGCCCACCAAGCCUGCGAUCUGUAGCUGGUCUGAGAGGACGACCAGCCACACUGGAACUGAGACACGGUCCAGACUCCUACGGGAGGCAGCAGUGGGGAAUUUUGGACAAUGGGCGCAAGCCUGAUCCAGCAAUGCCGCGUGCAGGAUGAAGGCCUUCGGGUUGUAAACUGCUUUUGUACGGAACGAAACGGCUUUUUCUAAUACAGAGAGCUAAUGACGGUACCGUAAGAAUAAGCACCGGCUAACUACGUGCCAGCCGCCGCGGUAA
RNAcentral lists this ribosomal RNA (500 nucleotides) under uncultured bacterium. Its description in RNAcentral is "partial 16S ribosomal RNA". It matches the Rfam family "Bacterial small subunit ribosomal RNA", at positions 30 to 523 of the family's 1533-position model. The record is from RNAcentral.